Molecule: transfer-messenger RNA, 372 nt
Filed under: Chitinophagia bacterium
Lineage: Bacteria; Pseudomonadati; Bacteroidota; Chitinophagia
Rfam family: transfer-messenger RNA
About the family: Bacterial tmRNA, also known as 10Sa RNA or SsrA, is named for its dual tRNA and mRNA-like properties. Its role is to liberate the mRNA from a stalled ribosome. To accomplish this part of the tmRNA is used as a reading frame that ends in a translation stop signal.
Source: RNAcentral
GGGGCCGACUGGUUUUGACAGCAUUUAUGCAGGAUUGGUAAGCAUGCCGUGCGUUGGAUAAUUAGCACGAUAAUCUGAAUAUUCAAAAUCUAUCUGGCAAUACUCAGUAUGCCAUGGCUGCUUAAUCAGUGAUUAACCACCCAUUUUGGCCGCAAGCAAACAGAUGCCUAUAUCUGUAGCUGCCGCCUAACUCGAAACAAGAAUAGGAUAGUGAGUGUUGUGCUACGGUACACUUGCGAAAACAAAGUAGCUAAGCAUUGCCUUGGUUGGUUUAGUUCCGGUGCAGUGACGAAAAUCAAUACUAAAAUAAGCAUGUAGAAAGCCUUUUGGGCGAAUGUUUGGAACUGGGUUCGACUCCCAGCGGUUCCACAC